CAGUGAUCGUCCCUGAAUGAUAAAGAUAGAGGAUUUAUUGUCUGUCUUUGUCAUACAGGAUUGCGGUCAUACACUGAAGCUGAAUCCGUGUCAGUGUUCCGGGAACACGUGACAAGGAACCUACACACCCCUUUAAAGUCGGAGACAGAGUCGUGGUGAAGGUGCUCCCCAGGAACAAGAGCCCAGGAGACUUCACCUAUGGUCCAGAGACAGAGGUCGUAGCAGUUACCCGAACAGCAGUCCUGACAGAGGAAAGUCCUACCUGGAUCCAUGCAUCCCGAGUAAAAAAGGUUCCUAGACCAGACCUAGAGAGGGAAGCAAGUGAUUCCAGUGAGGUACGAACCGGGGCAGACAGCCCUGACCUCCCACCUAGCGAAGAAAGAAGAACAGGAGAAGAUGAGGAACCUGUCCCCUAUCUUUAUCCUGGGGACUAUCUCGAUAGCCCUACUGGCCCUCAUUCACCUCACAAUAUGUGAAGUCGACAUCACACAAACAGAUGGGGUCCCCACCUUGUGGUACAAUUCCUCCAAUACACACGUAGCCACAUAUAUCCUUGACUAUUUUAUGUUCCCCAAAAUUGCUGAUGACAAAUAUUAUAUACAACAAAGGAGGAAAUCAGGAAUGUCUGAGACAGUAUAUAUUUGUGUUACUGACGAAUGGUACUAUGACAAUAGAUAUUAUGGAUCUAAUUGUAAUUCCUGGGAAGCUGUGGGGUGGAAUACAGGAGUAGAUUGGAAAUAUGGCCCAUCGUUUGCAAAGAAUAGAUGGAGCAAAUAUGGAGUACCCCUACUUUCUAGACUAUCCAUUCAUAAGAUGGAUGAAGGCCCAAAUUCAUACAGGUUUAGACUAAACAUAGUGAACCCUAGCAGAAGCGACAAUGAGACUUAUGUACUUGGUAUAUGGUGGCAAGCAGGAUACUAUAGUGCAAGACAAAUGUUUUAUUUGUGGGACAUGUACAAAAACCCAAAAUACCAGCCUAAAAUUGCUCCCCAAAACAAACCUUUAAAGCCCCAUAUUGCCACUUUUAAAGAUAUGGUGGCUAUUACUAACCCUACCUUUGAAGACACCCUAGCUAUUGAAACUGGUUUCUCUGACAUUAAUUUUGGUUGGAAUGGAUGAAGUAUAGUGCUAACAAACACAAUAAAAGCAACUGUUAUGUCUGUGGCAAAUCUAGGCCCCACCUAGGUACAGUGCCCCUUAAUAUACCCCUAGAACAAGAAAAUUGUUUUUUUUUCAGCCUUUUUAAUGACACCAAAACAAAUGGCAGUCAGUGCGAAAUGUGGAAAAGGGAAUAUCCCAUAUUGUCAAAAAAUCCCAACCCAGGAAGCACCAUAACUAUAUAUCCUGGAAACUACACUUGUUAUACAUCUAACACCACCACAGGGAGAAAUUUAAAAACCUUCCCACCAGGGUAUUGUGCAAAUAAGCAUAUUCAUACUUGUAACUUUAAUUCUUGUAGGCAUUAUAGUUUAUUGUAUAAUUCCCUGUGGAAAGAAACUUACCUCCAAAGGCAUUGAUAAGGCCCUGAUGUACUAUGAUAUAACCACCAGUCCUGUCACCUCCUCUGAUAGUAAGGGACCCGACGAUUAUGUCCAAUAGCUCAAGAACUGGAGGAACAAGAAAGGAGCCUCACUCAAGAAUCAUGUCAUAUAUUAAUCAUGAUUCUAAGAGGGGAUUGAAGGGUUAGCUCCUCUGUGCUUUGUAGAUAUUACUUUUUAUAUGAUCAAUUUCCUUAUAAUAGUUACAGUGUAAAAGUGAAUAUUUCUAUUUCCCUAGUGAAGGGUUAAAACAUGCUUUAUGAACUCUUAUGUGUUUGCAUUGGAUGCAUGCUGCCCUGUGUUAGAUGCCUUUGUCUCUCAUACAGAUACCAGGCUUGUGUGGGUCUGGCAUCCAAGGUCAGCUCUAUACUAGAUGAAACCUGCUUUUUCUACUUCUGUGUGUUACUAAAAGAUCCUUUGUUAAGUUCCGUCUGAUGCAACGUAUAUAACAUCUGCCUAGCAACUGCUAUAUCCAAUUAUGUUAUGUCAAGUAUUAACCACCCCUACGUACCCCACUAGGGCACCACCCCUAAGCCAAUGAGCCCUGUUACACUUAUCAGUUACACCCUUAUGUGUUCUCUUUUUAUACCAAUGUUAAACAUUCAAUAAAACAGUGUGAACUUUUA
Molecule: long non-coding RNA, 2164 nt
Organism: Pseudophryne corroboree (corroboree frog)
Lineage: Eukaryota; Metazoa; Chordata; Amphibia; Anura; Myobatrachidae
Exons: 2
Source: RefSeq, a predicted model, not a curated record